GCAUUUGUGGUGUAGUGGUCAGCACGCUCGAUGCGUAACCAAGAGGUCCGUGGUUCGAUUCCCGGCGAAGGCG
This 73-nucleotide transfer RNA is filed under the name Stegodyphus mimosarum. It matches the Rfam family "tRNA". From Rfam's summary of the family: Transfer RNA (tRNA) molecules are approximately 80 nucleotides in length. Their secondary structure includes four short double-helical elements and three loops (D, anti-codon, and T loops). The record is from Rfam by way of RNAcentral. Lineage: Eukaryota; Metazoa; Arthropoda; Arachnida; Araneae; Eresidae.